Long non-coding RNA from Ostrinia nubilalis (European corn borer), 694 nucleotides. RefSeq lists it as uncharacterized. The transcript has 5 exons. NCBI's taxonomy places the organism in Eukaryota, Metazoa, Arthropoda, Insecta, Lepidoptera, Crambidae. The record is from RefSeq and is a predicted model, not a curated record.
UUUUAGGCUUAUUUUGUUGUUUUAAUCUAAGAUUGUUUAAUUUAAAUAAAAUAUGGACAAAAUAUAAAAACAUAUUUGAAAGAAAGAAAGAAAAUUUGGAUAAUUUAUUUUAUGAUGGUUAAAGAUGUGCACAGCAGAUGGAUUCUGUUUCAUGUCGCUGCGAACAGCAGCUGUAGUCGUUGGACUCAUACACCUUAUUUUAAACGUUGCGAUGGGAAUUAUUAUCACUGUAAUGAUAGUGCAAAUAGCACAAAAACCGGAUGAUGCUAGUAAAAGCCUCAUGUCACCGAUCGCACCAAUCUUUAAGAAGGAUUCGGUGGACAAAACCACUUCGAUAGCUACAAUGGUUGUGAUGUUCUUGGUGCCAGCUGCGAUAGGCGCUCUAAUGGCGCUAUUGCUCAUCAUUGGUGUUGCGACGGACAAUCGGUGUUUGGUGAUGACAUAUUAUGUCUAUGGCAUAUUGACAGUGAUAGCCAGCGUUGUAUUUGUUGCAGUCUGGUUUUAUUCAGGAGAAAUUUUGGCCGCGGUUUUUACACUUAUUUCACUGAUUGUCUAUGUGAUCAUACUUCAUUUCGUUAUCAAGGGGUUUUUGAAUGAGAUGGGCGGUUGAAAUAUGCAAUGCAGGUCAAGAGAAGUGAGCCUCAACUUAACUGUAUUUCUUCGAAUAAGAUUAAUAAAGGAAAAUAACGAUUAA